This is a transfer RNA of Ovis aries (sheep), 72 nucleotides long. It matches the Rfam family "tRNA". Rfam says of the family: Transfer RNA (tRNA) molecules are approximately 80 nucleotides in length. Their secondary structure includes four short double-helical elements and three loops (D, anti-codon, and T loops). NCBI's taxonomy places the organism in Eukaryota, Metazoa, Chordata, Mammalia, Artiodactyla, Bovidae. The record is from Rfam.
UCCCUAGUGGCUCAGAGGGUAAAGCGUCUGCCUACAAUGCUGGAAACUCGGGUUCGAUCCCUGGGUCGGGAA